GAUGUGGGGAUUAAAGUAAAGGUGGGGGAGGACAGGGGCUUAUUUUGGCAUCUUCCGGGGAACCUCCGGUUAGCAUAUGCAGAUUCGCUGGGCGCCUCUGGGGUCGGGAUGGGAAAGCUCACCUGUAGCGCCCGUUAUGCAAAAGCUGUUUACUUCCUGCGCUAAUACCCCUGAAAGGUGACCACUGAAAGGAAGAGCAGUGUGGCCUUCGUAGGCCUGAAUUGGGUCUGGAAAGAGAAGAGACUUUUAAAUUUGGCUAUUUCAUCUAAAAUUAAUCUACACUUUUGCUUAAAUCUCUCUUCAGUCUAAAGCUUCUGCAUGAGUUAGAAAUACAAACAGUUCCUUGGUGGCGGAAGUGAUUCGCCCUGAGCUAACAUCUGCUGCCAAUCUUCCUCUUUUUGUUUGUGAGCUGCCACCACAGCAUGGCCACUGACAGACCAGUGAUGAAGGUCCAUGCCUGGGAACUGAACCUGGGCCGCCAAAGCAGAGCAUGAACUUAACCUCUAGGCCAUCGGGGCUGGCCCUCCAGGUGAGAAUGAUGCUUCUGGUCCUGGGACCACACUUUGAGAACCACUGCUCUACUCUCUGGAGAAAAGUCUGUGUAUGCCAGUGAGAAGGGUGCUCUGCUUCUGAAGAAAGAAAGAGAAACGUGAAGAAUUUAGAAAAAGAUGGAAUGCUCAGGUAACUGAAGUCAUCCAGGAGUUCACUUUCCCUGGAGCAGGGAUCAUGGACCCAGAUUAAGAAGUCCACAGCUAAAGGGAUUCUUCUGUCUCUAAAAUGCAGCGUUUCUAAGUCCUUUCCCUAGAAGUUGCAUUUUCACGACUCUCUCCCCAGUGACCUUUUGUAACCAUUUUCAUGGCUUGAUACAACAACAACAACGAAUGAAAUGGACAGGGUGUGCUAAUUCAUGAAACAAGCUGAGUGUUGGGGCUGCCCCAAGACGUUCUGUUUCGUAAUGAAUGAUUUCCACCUCGUGGCAGCACUUUCUUUCUACACCUGUGUCUUUGACACUUGCCAUACAGGAUCCAAUGCCAAGUCCCAAAGGUUCAGUUUCUUAAAUCAUGAAAGGACUGACUCCGAGUUCUUGGCCUCUUGCUUCCAGCUGUGUCCGCAUCAGGUCGAAGCUAUGCUGUAAUACACAUAAGCACCACCAGAUGGCAUCCUUGGGAAAGUCUUGCCUUGCGCGUUGCUUUCCCAGCUCUGACGUCUAUUCUAAACAUAGCCUGGUAAAAUGCUUGUGGAAGAAGGAAGAGAAUCUAUUAUGGGGGAGGAAAAACACCAAUGACAAGACAGCCUAGCACUUUCCUGGGUUUUGGUAUACAGAGUCAAGCCUUGAUUACUUUCUUCUACUUCUUAAUUAUCAGCUUUUCAAGGCAGAUGCAUAGGUUUAUAUAAUACAGAAGCAUUUCUUUCAUACACAUGCAUAUAUUUUUUGCCUCUACUGAUGCUCUAUGUGACUUAGAAGCUGCUCAUAAUUUAGAGGAAGAGCCUGUUCUUCUUUUGGAUUCUAAACUUGCACAUUCAUUCUUUUAUUGCCUCUGUCCUCCACUUCCAGUAAGAAUAUUCAGUUUGCACGGAAACCUCAUAAAAGGCCUUUCUGGGAAGGGAAAAGCUCAGUAAGAUCAGCUCUCUCUGCUGUGAAUCUCAGGCCAACUGGAAAGAAGAUCAAAGAGAAAGAAGAGGGCAGAGUGGACUUGGAUGGAAAGCAUGAUUGUCCCUGAAAGUGACCUGUCGGUUCCAUCUUCUCUUUUGCUCCUUCCAAAUUUUUCUUAAAAAACAGUUUUUUAAAAACCCAUGUUCAUGCUACAUUAAGCCUCAUGUUUCCAUUUCCCAUUUUACUGCUCAGGGUGGCACUUGCUGCCACUUGGUAAACUUACUUAAGAGGGGGAAUGAUGUC
This is a long non-coding RNA of Equus caballus (horse), 1897 nucleotides long. Lineage: Eukaryota; Metazoa; Chordata; Mammalia; Perissodactyla; Equidae. The record is from Ensembl.